Molecule: RNA transcript, 1121 nt
Organism: Sapajus apella (tufted capuchin)
Lineage: Eukaryota; Metazoa; Chordata; Mammalia; Primates; Cebidae
Gene name: DNA repair protein RAD51 homolog 3 pseudogene
Exons: 1
Source: RefSeq, a predicted model, not a curated record
GAAGACGUUCCGCUUUGAAAUGCAGCGGGAUUUGCUGAGUUUCCCGCUGUCUCCAGCGGUGUGGGCAAAGUUGGUGUCUGCGGGUUUCCAGACUGCUGAGGAACUCCUGGAGGUGAAACCCUCCGAGCUUAGCAAAGAAGUUGGGAUAUCUAAAGAGGAAGCCUUAGAAACUCCGCAAAUUAUAAGAGAAUGUCUCACAAAUAAACCAAGAUAUGCUGGUACAUCUGAGUCAGGAAAGAAGUGUACAGCACUGGAACUUCUUGAACAGGAGCAUACCCAGGGAUCCAUAAUUACCUUCUGUUCAGCACUAGAUAAUAUUCUUGGGGGUGGAGUACCCUUAAUGAAAACGACAGAAAUUUGUGGUGCAACAGGCAUUGGAAAAACACAAUUAUGUAUGCAGUUGGCAGUAGAUGUGCAGAUACCAGAAUGUUUUGGAGGAGUGGCAGGUGAAGCAGUUUUUAUUGAUACAGAGGGAAGUUUUAUGGUUGAUAGAAUGGUAGACCUUGCUACUGCCUGCAUUCAGCACCUUCAGCUUAUAGCAGAAAAACACAAGGGAGAGGAACACCGAAAAGCUUUGGAGGAUUUCACUCUUGAAAAUAUUCUUUCCCAUAUUUAUUAUUUUCGCUGUCGUGCCUACACAGAGUUACUGGCACAAGUUUAUCUUCUUCCAGCUUUCCUUUCAGAACAGUCAAAGGUUCGGUUGGUGAUAGUGGAUGGCAUUGCUUUUCCAUUUCGUCAUGACCUAGAUGACCUGUCUCUUCGUACUCGGUUAUUAAAUGGCCUAGCCCAGCAAAUGAUCAGUCUUGCAAAUAAUCACAGAUUAGCUGUAAUUUUAACCAAUCAGAUGACAACAAAGAUUGAUAAAAAUCAGGCCUUGUUCAUUCCUGCAUUAGGGGAAAGUUGGGGACAUGCUGCUACAAUACGGCUAAUCUUUCAUUGGGACCAAAAGCAAAGGUUGGCAGCAUUGUACAAGUCACCCAGCCAGAAGGAAUCCACAGUACUGUUUCAAAUCACACCUCAGGGAUUUAGAGAUACUGUUAUUACUUCUGCAUGUUCAUUGCAGACAGAAGAUUCCUUGAAUACCCGGAAACGGUCACAAGACACAGAGGAAGAAUUAUAAC